AUAUUUCUUGAAUUUCUCAUCCUGGUGGUCCUUCUUCCCAGCCCAAGGUUUCUUGCCAUUCCCUUCUUUCGGUCAUUCCUUAUAACUCUCCUUACCGCCACCUUUCUCUCCACCAUUCUUGCCCUUGCCAUCCUUAGUUUUGGACUUGUCACCCUUCUUAUACUCCACAAGUGACUUGGCAAUUGUAAUGGCAGCAACAAGGUCUUGG
Molecule: unclassified non-coding RNA, 208 nt
Filed under: Hevea brasiliensis (rubber tree)
Lineage: Eukaryota; Viridiplantae; Streptophyta; Magnoliopsida; Malpighiales; Euphorbiaceae
Source: RNAcentral